RNAcentral lists this ribosomal RNA (253 nucleotides) under uncultured bacterium. RNAcentral's name for it is "partial 16S ribosomal RNA". It matches the Rfam family "Bacterial small subunit ribosomal RNA", at positions 524 to 776 of the family's 1533-position model. The record is from RNAcentral.
UACGGAGGGCGCAAGCGUUACUCGGAAUUAUUGGGCGUAAAGGGCGCGUAGUCGAUCCUGUAAUUCUCGUGUGAAAUCCCAGGGCUUAACCCUGGAAUGGCAAGAGAAACUGCUGGAAUUGAGUUCCGGAGAGGAAGGCAGAAUUCCCGGUGUAGCGGUGAAAUGCGUAGAUAUCGGGAGGAAUACCAGUGGCGAAGGCGGCCUUCUGGACGGAUACUGACGCUGAGGCGCGAAAGCCAGGGGAGCAAACGGG